Molecule: ribosomal RNA, 527 nt
Filed under: uncultured bacterium
Lineage: Bacteria
Description: bacterial SSU rRNA
Rfam family: Bacterial small subunit ribosomal RNA
Source: RNAcentral
GAGUUUGAUCAUGGCCAGGACGAACGCUGGCGGUGUGCUUAACACAUGCAAGUGGUGCGACGAACCAGGCUUCGGCCUGGGGCAAAGCCGCGAACGGGUGAGUAACACGUGGGUAAUCUGCCCCGAUGACCGGGACAACCCGAGGAAACUCGGGCUAAUACCGGAUGUGGUGCCCCAGACAUAAGUCUGGUCACUAAAGGUAGCUUCGGCUUCCGCAUUGGGAGGGGCCCGCGGCCCAUUAGCUUGUUGGUGGGGUCAAGGCCUACCAAGGCAACGAUGGGUAGCUGGUCUGAGAGGACGAUCAGCCACACUGGGACUGAGACACGGCCCAGACUCCUACGGGAGGCAGCAGUGGGGAAUCUUGCGCAAUGCGCGAAAGCGUGACGCAGCAACACCGCGUGAGGGAAGACGGCCUUAGGGUUGUAAACCUCUUUCAGAUGGGACGAAGGUUCGGCGGUGAAUAGCCGAUCGGAUUGACGGUACCGUCAGAAGAAGCUCCGGCGGACUACGUGCCAGCAGCGCGGUAA